Long non-coding RNA from Anneissia japonica, 1853 nucleotides. RefSeq lists it as uncharacterized. The transcript is spliced from 3 exons. NCBI's taxonomy places the organism in Eukaryota, Metazoa, Echinodermata, Crinoidea, Comatulida, Comatulidae. The record is from RefSeq and is a predicted model, not a curated record.
CAUCAAUAUCACGAGAUAAACCGACGCAAACAAGUAGAACAAAAACGUCGGAAAACAAACCCUAAUUCGCGAAAUGGAAUCGUCCAACAUUUUUUAUCAGUAUCUUGAACCACUCGUCGGCAAUGCGAAGAGAUUAUAAUCCCCAACCAUGCGUUGUAGACGGGUAUACGCGUUGCUUUAUUUUGCGAGGCUCCCUUAGGGUAUAAAGCACUGGUCACCCAUUUUAAUUAGGUUAUGUUUUAUAGAAUUAUCUUUAAUGUCCUAUUUUUAGCAAGUUUUAGUUUAUUAUUUAAUCUGAAAUUAAUUGUUAUUCUAUUAUAGGUACAGUUUCAAUUAGGAAUAUCAGCAGCAAUUAGUGCCAAGGCAAAGGGUUUUUUAAAGCUCCUACACCAAAAAAAGAUGAUAAAGUUCAUGCACUUUAUGUUAGAUGUUGUCAUGGUACUAGCCCAAAUAAAAAAUGCCACAAUAGCUGAUGUUGCAGUUUCGAUCAAUGCUGCUUCCAAAAAGAAAGUACAAUAAUAAAUAAUAAAAAAUAAAACAAAAUUAUACAUUACAACCUAAUAUUUUUUUUUUUAUUAAAAUACAAAAUAUAUACCAAAUUGGAAAAUGAGUGUGUGUACUCUAUUAUUUUUUUUUUUUUUUUGGUUUCAGACAUAUGACACCAAAAUUGCAAAGCCUUAGACUAUUGUCUUGAGUUCAAUGGUGAAACCCUUAAUGAGGAAGGGAAUAUUGAAAAAUUUAUGGAUGAACUCCUGAAUUCAUUGGAUGCCAAUCUCAAUGGCUGAUUUUCUGACAUGAACGAAGAUUUUGGAGAACAAAAAGGUAGAUAUUUUAUUCAACAAUUUAAUCAGGUACUAGAACGCAGUGGUGUUGCUAUUGAUGAGGUGGAACCAGAGUGGGAUAUACUCAAAGCCAUGGUUUGACAAGUACGAAAACUAUGUAAAACAAGCCAACUGGAAGGAGGUUGUGCCCGCAGUCAUAACUGAGCUACCCAACAUCUGCGCAGGGUUGACCUGAUGCUUACCAUACCUGCCAGUUCUGCUGAUACUGAAAGAGGCUUCAGCAGUAUGAAGCAGGUGAAAACUGAACAUAGAACAAGGCUGAAAGAUGACAGGGUGUCAGAUCUGCUGCAGUUAUGCUUCAAGCGCCUCCAGUGGAGAAUUUUGAUCCUAUUCCUCCUAUCAACUUGUGAAAUAUCAGUGGCAGUCGUUGAAGGCGAUUUGCGAGGGUAGGGGGUGCUGCUGGAUAUGCCACAACAAAUCGUUUUGAGGACUCUAGUAGCAGUGAUUCAGAUUCUAGUAGUACUAGUAGUUAUAGUGAUAACAAUUAUGCCGAACACAACUUGCUUGAUUGAGGUUUAAUCCUUAUGAAGUCCUACACUUAAAUUAAAUUUCUAUGUCUGUGUUCAGUGAUGCACAUUAUAUCAAAAUAAAUGUAAAUAUGUGAAGUAAACUAAUUAAAAAUGAUAUAUUUGCUGUGUAUAACAAGGACAGUGUGUUUAUUUUAAUUAAUGCAAUGUAAUACAAAAUAGUGUGGCUAGUGAAAUGGAUUCAGGACCAGUAAAAUUGUUAAAGUUCCUGGUCCACUUGGCUAGUAAAAAACAACUCCUGCUAAGGUCAAACAAUGGCUGUAUUCGAUUGGUCGUUCUUCGUUAAACCACGCCUACCUUCGCAGUGGUAAAAUCCUACUUAUUACGAAGACGUUGAGUCGAAUAGAAAACUGGUAAAUACUCGACAAAAAAAAAUGGCUGCAUACAGUAGUUACCGUGAUACAUGCUGCGUAAUCAAGGCUGCUUCGGAUUGUGGCAGUAUGGAUUUUUUUUGUUUUCACCAAUUUUUUGAAUUCUGUUUAGC